UCCUCGAUUCGCAUACUCUCUCGCUGGUCAGACAGACGAGAGAGCAUGCAAAUCGAGGAGA
RNAcentral lists this microRNA precursor (61 nucleotides) under Pristionchus pacificus. Its description in RNAcentral is "mir-8364 microRNA precursor family". It matches the Rfam family "mir-8364 microRNA precursor family". Lineage: Eukaryota; Metazoa; Nematoda; Chromadorea; Rhabditida; Neodiplogasteridae. The record is from Rfam by way of RNAcentral.